UGAGGAAUAUUGGACAAUGGGGGGAACCCUGAUCCAGCCAUGCCGCGUGUGUGAAGAAGGCCUUAUGGUUGUAAAGCACUUUAAGCGAGGAGGAGGCUACUUUAGUUAAUACCUAGAGAUAGUGGACGUUACUCGCAGAAUAAGCACCGGCUAACUCUGUGCCAG
Molecule: ribosomal RNA, 165 nt
Filed under: uncultured bacterium
Lineage: Bacteria
Description: partial 16S rRNA
Rfam family: Bacterial small subunit ribosomal RNA
Source: RNAcentral